UACGAAGGGGGCUAGCGUUGCUCGGAAUGACUGGGCGUAAAGGGCGCGUAGGCGGCUUGUAUAGUCGGAUGUGAAAUUCCUGGGCUUAACCUGGGGGCUGCAUACGAGACGUAUGGGCUUGAGUGCGGAAGAGGGUCGUGGAACUCCCAGUGUAGAGGUGAAAUUCGUAGAUAUUCGCAAGAACACCAGUGGCGAAGGCGGCUCACUGGCCCGAUACUGACGCUGAGGCACGAAAGCGUGGGGAGCAAACAGG
RNAcentral lists this ribosomal RNA (253 nucleotides) under uncultured bacterium. RNAcentral's name for it is "partial 16S ribosomal RNA". It matches the Rfam family "Bacterial small subunit ribosomal RNA", at positions 524 to 776 of the family's 1533-position model. The record is from RNAcentral.